Pygoscelis adeliae (Adelie penguin) is the source of this 1759-nucleotide long non-coding RNA. RefSeq lists it as uncharacterized. NCBI's taxonomy places the organism in Eukaryota, Metazoa, Chordata, Aves, Sphenisciformes, Spheniscidae. The record is from RefSeq and is a predicted model, not a curated record. The transcript has 2 exons.
CCAUCCCACUGGAGUUUACUGGUACCAUCCCACUGGAGUUUACUGGUACCAUCAAGCAGGUCCCCUGUAGGUUUCUCCAGUGGGGUCAACAUCUUCCGAAAGACCCGUUAGUGCUUCCCAACAGCAACGUUCACCCUUGAAAAGCUUUUAGGAACCCGUCGCUUUCUUUCAGCUGCUGACUUCAAUAAUUGUCUCCAGCUCAUUAACAUUUAGGGUGAGCUCUUCAUGUCUUGUUUUUAACCACCUUACUAGUGACGCAUGUUUCCAGCAAAGAAGGAAAGACCGUUGCUCAUCCCCUUGGCUGAGUGCUGCCACAUCUUCAUUGCUGCUCAGAGGUGACAGCCCUCUGGGACCUUUAGCAGCUUGCUGUGACCCAAAAUGCUGCCCAGAUGUUGCUGUCUGGUCUCCUCAUAAUCCCAGUAAUCCCAGUGCUCCACUGAAGCCAGUCAGCAUAUCCCUUACUGACGGUGUGGACCGUCCCCGGGAAAUUUGGCAGUGCUGAACCCUGGGUUCAGGAGCCGUACCAAUAAACGUGGUGCUAAGCUUAACCCCAGUCCUGUCUGGAUUUGGCCUUGCAUCCCCCAUCAGCCAGGACAGUUCAAAGUAAACUGGAGAAAAUACCCACAAAACACUUCACCAGAAGGUCUGCUUGGUCUUUCUCUCUGUAAUUGUUGGGUUAGAGAGCCAAGAGCCCAGGUCCAUGGUUUCCUUGCCCAGCCUUGCCACGAGGAUGCUGAUUCCUCACCCCAAAAAUGAAAAUUGCUUGUGCUGCAGCACUGGACGAGUCAUAUUUUGUAAAAGCAGCCCUGGCGCUAUUUUAGGAUUAGGCAAACACAUUUGAUCCUGGUUUAGACCAAUUCCUCAGACCUCCUCUUAGUUUCUCCCAUCCCUCCUUCUUGUGAAGUGGGUUGGUGGAGAUAAAGAGACACCGCAACGUAACUGGCCGAGUUCAGCCAAGGGCAACUGGGACCAUUUAGGGUCAACUGGGACGUUCUUGUGGUCCCGGCUCGGUGGAACCAUGGUCCCAUGGAGGGCUUUUGCCCCAAGCAAAAAUGUCAUAACCACAGGAGGCAAAGGAGGGGACUGUGUCAGCUCUGAGCACCAUCAGCAAAGAAAAACAGGACAUUUGUAGAGUGGUUCAUCUCAUCCUCGAGUGAACUUUUAGGAUAGGGUUGGGUUAAGAUAGGACUUGCACCAUGGCAGCACUUUUUUUUCCUUGUGCCUGUGAAGGGAGCUUGGUUUUAUGGGGAGGGUCACAACAUAGUCACCGGGGCGAGACAAAUAAUUGGGAGAAAUUAAUUCAACCGAAGUACUGAACUGGUACAAACAUUACUCCGGGCCAGGUCUUGCCUGGUCUCCCGCACUUGCCAAAAAGCAGCGUGAACACCAAGUUACGUGCUCUGAAUAAUUCAACAAAAAUGUGCUCCAAGUUCACUCCUGAGGUCCUGAUCAGUGAUCCCACCCUUCUCCGAGCUGGCAUCAGCCGGCUUCAAACCAUCGCCUCGGGCAACGCUGCCAGUCCCACCAAGGGGCUCCCCCUGUGAUCCUGGUCCCGCACAAGCUAGCUCACUGCUCAGAUGGAGAGCGGUCGGAGGGGUACCAACUGGAAAUUUAUAUAUAGAUAUUUUUUUUUGUUUGUAAAAGCACUAACUUAUACUAAAAAAAAAGUGGGUUUUGUGACAACUGUACAUUUUUAUUUUUGUAACAUGCAGACACCUCAGAUUUCUUAUAGUAAAUAAAUUUAUUUCUACUGUGAGCA